This 401-nucleotide ribosomal RNA is filed under the name uncultured bacterium. Its description in RNAcentral is "bacterial SSU rRNA". It matches the Rfam family "Bacterial small subunit ribosomal RNA", at positions 356 to 774 of the family's 1533-position model. The record is from RNAcentral.
CGGGAAUUUUGGGCAAUGGGCGAAAGCCUGACCCAGCAACGCCGCGUGAGGGAUGAAGUAUUUCGGUAUGUAAACCUCGAAAGAAUGGGAAGAAUAAAUGACGGUACCAUUUAUAAGCUCCGGCUAACUACGUGCCAGCAGCCGCGGUAAUACGUAGGGAGCAAGCGUUGUUCGGAUUUACUGGGCGUAAAGGGCGCGUAGGCGGCGCGGUAAGUCACUUGUGAAAUCUCUGAGCUUAACUCAGAACGGCCAAGUGAUUCUGCUGUGCUAGAGUGCGGAAGAGGCAACCGGAAUUCUUGGUGUAGCGGUGAAAUGCGUAGAUAUCAAGAGGAACACCUGAGGCGAAGGCGGGUUGCUGGGCCAACACUGACGCUGAUGCGCGAAAGCCAGGGGAGCAAACG